RNAcentral lists this long non-coding RNA (839 nucleotides) under Musa acuminata (dwarf banana). Its description in RNAcentral is "long non-coding RNA (MACU_LNC002049)". The record is from RNAcentral. Lineage: Eukaryota; Viridiplantae; Streptophyta; Magnoliopsida; Zingiberales; Musaceae.
UCAAUUAUUGUUCUUAUCUUCUAUUAUUUCUAUCAUGGUAUCAGAGCCGCUUGCCUAGAGCAAGCUCUCUUCUCGCUGCCAAUUCAUCAUUGGUGUUGCCACUCUGCGCCAACGUCCGUUCCCUUCCGCUACGGCAUCUCUAGUGCUGCUCAUCAGUACUGCCCCACCUUUCUUCCUCGUUGUAGCUAUUUUCCUUCCUCUUCUGCUAUAGCUUCCUCUUCUACUACAGCUUCCUCCUCUGUUGCAGUUUCCUCCUUUGCUGUAGUAGCAUCACUGCAACAUUGCUGUAGAUUUCUUCUCUACCGUCGCAGCCGUAACAGCAACAGCGAUCUACACUUAUCUUACUCAUGAAGCCUCUCGCUUGUAAACAAUUCUUUGCAUCGAUCCAAGAUUGGUAUCCUUGUCAGGAGCACCAUCUUGCGGGGGCAUGAUAGAAGAUAAGAUUUUCCUAACUAUAUGAGGAAAUUUCUCUAUUCUGUUGAGGAAAAUCCUCUAUUCUGUUAGGGAAAUCCUUCCUCCUAAUUCCUAUAAAUAGGAGAGGGAACAUGUUAAUAGAUUCAAGCUAAAGCUAUUUCAUUUCUACAAUAAAGCUUCUUCAAUUAUUGUUCUUAUCUUCUAUUAUUUCUAUCACAUUUGGUUAUCUAUCUGAUUUUUUUUUUUUUUUGCAAUUUCACAUCUAUAUGAUUUGAUAUAUUUUAUAUCAUACAUGCAGAUUGUGUCUUUUUAACGUUAUCUAUCUUAAUUACUGUAAUAUUAAAUUUACAUGCAAGCAUUGAAAUAUGAUAGUUACAGCAUUUAUCUAUUUUUAAUAAUUAUUUAUAAAUACCUUCUGUUGUAAG